CAGCCGCCGCGGGAACACGAAGGGGGCUAGCGUUGUUCGGAUUUACUGGGCGUAAAGCGCACGUAGGCGGACUUUUAAGUCAGGGGUGAAAUCCCGGGGCUCAACCCCGGAACUGCCUUUGAUACUGGAAGUCUUGAGUAUGGUAGAGGUGAGUGGAAUUCCGAGUGUAGAGGUGAAAUUCGUAGAUAUUCGGAGGAACACCAGUGGCGAAGGCGGCUCACUGGACCAUUACUGACGCUGAGGUGCGAAAGCGUGGGGAGCAAACAGGAUUAGAUACCCGAGUAGUCCCUGUCUCUUAUAC
Molecule: ribosomal RNA, 301 nt
Filed under: uncultured bacterium
Lineage: Bacteria
Description: partial 16S ribosomal RNA
Rfam family: Bacterial small subunit ribosomal RNA
Source: RNAcentral